Peromyscus maniculatus bairdii (prairie deer mouse) is the source of this 323-nucleotide long non-coding RNA. RefSeq lists it as uncharacterized. Lineage: Eukaryota; Metazoa; Chordata; Mammalia; Rodentia; Cricetidae. The record is from RefSeq and is a predicted model, not a curated record.
AUUCAACAACAGAAGAUGAACACAGGGUCCCUACAAAUGUGUCCAUUUACCCGCAUUAGUCACCAUGGAAGCACACAGCACCCUUACCCCUGGACUGAGCAUAGCAACAAUCAAGACCGUAGGACUGCCCAAGGCUAUGGUCACAAGUGUAAACAUCACUUGCAUAUCGGGAAGAGAAAAAGCAGAAGACGGAAGUGGGGGAACUGGUGCUUGGCCACACCGUCGGGAACAGUAGCAGGCUUCUCCACGUUCCCGCUCACGGCAGACUGAGAGCCAUCAAGCUUGGCAAGUGUGGCGUUGCUCACCACGGAGCUGGCCCCCAG